GUGAGGAAUAUUGCGCAAUGGGGGCAACCCUGACGCAGCAACGCCGCGUGAGUGAGGAAGGUUUUCGGACCGUAAAGCUCUGUCGAGCGGGAAGAAAUGCAUGCUGGCUAAUAUCCAGCAUGCUUGACGGUACCGCUAGAGGAAGCACCGGCUAACUCCGUGCCAGCAGCCGCGGUAAUACGGGGGGUGCAAGCGUUGUUCGGAAUUAUUGGGCGUAAAGAGCGUGUAGGCGGUUGGACAAGUCAGAUGUGAAAGCCCUGGGCUUAACUCAGGAAGUGCAUUUGAAACUGUUCAGCUGGAGUAAGGGAGAGGAAAGUGGAAUUCCUGGUGUAGAGGUGAAAUUCGUAGAUAUCAGGAGGAACACCGGUGGCGAAGGCGACUUUCUGGCCCUAUACUGACGCUGAGACGCGAGAGCGUGGGUAGCAAACAGGAUUAGAAACCCCAGUAGUCC
This 451-nucleotide ribosomal RNA is filed under the name uncultured bacterium. RNAcentral's name for it is "bacterial SSU rRNA". It matches the Rfam family "Bacterial small subunit ribosomal RNA", at positions 354 to 796 of the family's 1533-position model. The record is from RNAcentral.